GUAGGUGGCAAGCGUUGUCCGGAAUUAUUGGGCGUAAAGCGCGCGCAGGCGGGUCCUUUAAGUCUGAUGUGAAAGCCCACGGGCUCAACCGUGGAGGGUCAUUGGAAACUGGGGGACUUGAGUACAGAAGAGGAAAGCGGAAUUCCAAGCGUAGCGGUGAAAUGCGUAGAGAUUUGGAGGAACACCAGUGGCGAAGGCGGCUUUCUGGUCUGUAACUGACGCUGAGGCGCGAAAGCGUGGGGAGCAAACAGGAUUAGAUACCCUGGUAGUCCACGCCGUAAACGAUGAGUGCUAAGUGUUAGGGGGUUUCCGCCCCUUAGUGCUGCAGCUAACGCAUUAAGCACUCCGCCUGGGGAGUACGGCCGCAAAGGCUG
RNAcentral lists this ribosomal RNA (374 nucleotides) under uncultured organism. RNAcentral describes it as "partial 16S ribosomal RNA". It matches the Rfam family "Bacterial small subunit ribosomal RNA", at positions 527 to 896 of the family's 1533-position model. The record is from RNAcentral.